This 278-nucleotide unclassified non-coding RNA is filed under the name Hevea brasiliensis (rubber tree). Lineage: Eukaryota; Viridiplantae; Streptophyta; Magnoliopsida; Malpighiales; Euphorbiaceae. The record is from RNAcentral.
CUUGUUUUUUCUGUGGGUUUUGGUGCUUUGAUUUUUGUUCCAGUGUUCAAGGCCCUAACUGGAUUGCCUCCAUAUAUGGGCAUGCUUCUUGGGCUUGGAGUACUUUGGAUUGUUACAGAUGCUAUUCAUUAUGGUGAAUCAGAAAGGCAGAAGUUAAAAGUACCGCAGGCUUUAUCUCGGAUUGACACUCAAGGAGCCCUUUUUUUCCUUGGAAUCCUUUUGUCAGUCAGCAGCCUGGAGGCAGCAGGGAUUCUUCGCGAAUUGGCAAAUUACCUUGA